This is a long non-coding RNA of Salmo salar (Atlantic salmon), 1357 nucleotides long. RefSeq lists it as uncharacterized. The record is from RefSeq and is a predicted model, not a curated record. NCBI's taxonomy places the organism in Eukaryota, Metazoa, Chordata, Actinopteri, Salmoniformes, Salmonidae.
UUCAUGUAGGCCUAUGUGUGUGUGAGAUUAAUGCCUCAGUCUGUCCAGUCACUGCGUGACUUUCCCCUCUUCAUGAAAUUAAGCCAAAGGUCUCCAAUUACAUGGUAUUCAAUCAAUUCAAUCUCAGGACAAGCAGCAUCCCUCAAAGGUUUUCCCAUGAUGCAGUUGCCUGCCUCACCCACAGACAAACCCAAAGUCAACUCAAAAGACUGCCUGGGCGGUGAUGUCAUUCGCUCCUAUGGCUAGAGCAGGAGAUGUUUGGGAGUGUGGUGUGUUCCGUGUUGAGGUGUGACCAGUGCACCUUUAUAAUUUAACAUUGUCUGAGCUUGCAGGAUAACAUAUGGCCCAUAGAUUACUUUAGUACCACAGGGAAAUCUAGCACCUGUAAACGCACAAACCUCUUCAGUGUAAAAUGUAAUCCUUUUACCAUACAUGGGAAACAAUGUCUGGGGAAUAACUGCUAGGGCAUUGUUGAGUGAGGGCUAGUUUCAACAGUUCAAACUGAAGAGCCCUCACAACAGUACAGUGGCUGGCAGCCAGAUGUUGCCAAUGACAUAAGGUAAUUUAAACAAAUUGAAAUGUUUAACCAAAGACUCAGUAAAGGGUAUUUCAAAAGAGGACAGCAACAUCCAUAUGCUGAUGUUGUUGAUUAUGACGUACAGCCACUAUGCUGUCAUAAAUGCGUCAUAAAUGCGGUCUGCGCAUAAACUAAACUAUGAUUUAAACUAUGAUUUUAUAAUAACUCACACUGUAUCUUGCAGGCAGCGUGUGUUAUGCCGAGUUCAUGUGCUAGUCUUAUCUAGGAAACUCGUACAUUUCCGACAAGCUAACUGAAUGAAUGCGGCACGUGUAUAACUACAACCAGUUAGCAAGUUUGAAAUUUCAGAGUUUUGACCAGCAACUAAACGCGGCAUAACGUCGAGCGGCAACUUCUCCACAAAAGGGCUUCACAGUGAAGUCACACCAAACCAGCAAGUUACUUCCUUGGAGAUGACGGUCGCGCACCGUCGUUAAGGAACACCACUAUGCGUAAUACAGGCCAACAAUGAAUUCAGGACAUUGAAGAGGUUUCGUUGGUAAUAGGUGUUUUAUCAGCAAUAGUUACAAUGCCUCAAAACCACAGAACGUUUCGUCUGAUUGGCCUCCAAGGACGAGAUGGGAAACUGGGCCCCCUAUGCAAGGAGGCCGUCACUGCUGUGCAGAAUGCAUGCUGAGAUACACCCACACUCUACCAGGAGAUUGGUCAAGGGGAUGAAUCUAGGCUAAUCUAAUAGUAAACCUGAAGAGAAACACAGCAACAGAUACUUUUGUAUUUUUUUAUGACAAACAUUGCAGUACCAUACAAUAGUAUUCUCCA